This 446-nucleotide ribosomal RNA is filed under the name uncultured bacterium. Its description in RNAcentral is "partial 16S ribosomal RNA". It matches the Rfam family "Bacterial small subunit ribosomal RNA", at positions 338 to 795 of the family's 1533-position model. The record is from RNAcentral.
CCUACGGGUGGCAGCAGUCGAGAAUCAUUCACAAUGGGGGAAACCCUGAUGGUGCGACGCCGCGUGGGGGAAUGAAGGUCUUCGGAUUGUAAACCCCUGUCAUGUGGGAGCAAAUUAAAAAGAUAGUACCACAAGAGGAAGAGACGGCUAACUCUGUGCCAGCAGCCGCGGUAAUACAGAGGUCUCAAGCGUUGUUCGGAAUCACUGGGCGUAAGGCGUGCGUAGGCUGUUUCGUAAGUCGUGUGUGAAAGGCGCGGGCUCAACCCGCGGACGGCACAUGAUACUGGGAGACUAGAGUAAUGGAGGGGGAACCGGAAUUCGCGGUGUAGCAGUGAAAUGCGUAGAUAUCGAGAGGAACACUCGUGGCGAAGGCGGGUUCCUGGACAUUAACUGACGCUGAGGCACGAAGGCCAGGGGAGCGAAAGGGAUUAGAUACCCCAGUAGUC